CAGUCGCCGCGGGAAUACGUAGGUGGCAAGCGUUGUCCGGAAUUAUUGGGCGUAAAGCGCGCGCAGGCGGAUCAGUCAGUCUGUCUUAAAAGUUCGGGGCUUAACCCCGUGAUGGGAUGGAAACUGCUGAUCUAGAGUAUCGGAGAGGAAAGUGGAAUUCCUAGUGUAGCGGUGAAAUGCGUAGAUAUUAGGAAGAACACCAGUGGCGAAGGCGACUUUCUGGACGAAAACUGACGCUGAGGCGCGAAAGCCAGGGGAGCGAACGGGAUUAGAUACCCCAGUAGUCCCUGUCUCUUAUACA
Molecule: ribosomal RNA, 301 nt
Filed under: uncultured bacterium
Lineage: Bacteria
Description: partial 16S ribosomal RNA
Rfam family: Bacterial small subunit ribosomal RNA
Source: RNAcentral